Molecule: ribosomal RNA, 292 nt
Filed under: uncultured eukaryote
Lineage: Eukaryota
Description: partial 18S ribosomal RNA
Rfam family: Eukaryotic small subunit ribosomal RNA
Source: RNAcentral
GGUUGAUCCUGCCAGUACAAUAUGCUUGUCUCAAAGAUUAAGCCAUGCAUGUCCAAGUAUAAACAAUUUUAUACAGUGAAACUGCGUACAGCUCAUUACAUCAGUUAUAAUUUCUUUGAAUAUGUAAUUACUAAAUGGAUAACCGUAGUAAUUCUAGAGCUAAUACAUGCGUGAAUGUUUAUCUUUAUUGAUGGACAGUGUUUAUUAGUUAUCAAGUUUGUUUUUUCAAGCUGAGUCAUAGUAACCAUAUACGAAUCUUUCUAAUCGAAAGAUGGUUCAUUCAAAUUUCUGC